AUCCUGCUCAGGAUGAACGCUAGCGGCAGGCUUAACACAUGCAAGUCGAGGGGCAGCGGGGAGUAGCAAUACUCCGCCGGCGACCGGCGCACGGGUGCGUAACGCGUAUGCAACCUACCUUUAACAGGGGCAUAACACUGAGAAAUUGGUACUAAUUCCCCAUAACAUUCGAGAAGGCAUCUUCUUGGGUUAAAAACUCCGGUGGUUAAAGAUGGGCAUGCGUUGUAUUAGCUAGUUGGUGAGGUAACGGCU
RNAcentral lists this ribosomal RNA (252 nucleotides) under uncultured bacterium. RNAcentral describes it as "partial 16S ribosomal RNA". It matches the Rfam family "Bacterial small subunit ribosomal RNA", at positions 16 to 265 of the family's 1533-position model. The record is from RNAcentral.